UACGUAGGGUGCAAGCGUUAAUCGGAAUUACUGGGCGUAAAGCGUGCGCAGGCGGUUUUGUAAGACUGUCGUGAAAUCCCCGGGCUCAACCUGGGAAUGGCGAUGGUGACUGCAAGGCUAGAGUUUGGCAGAGGGGGGUAGAAUUCCACGUGUAGCAGUGAAAUGCGUAGAUAUGUGGAGGAACACCGAUGGCGAAGGCAGCCCCCUGGGUCAACACUGACGCUCAUGCACGAAAGCGUGGGGAGCAAACAGG
RNAcentral lists this ribosomal RNA (253 nucleotides) under uncultured bacterium. RNAcentral describes it as "partial 16S ribosomal RNA". It matches the Rfam family "Bacterial small subunit ribosomal RNA", at positions 524 to 776 of the family's 1533-position model. The record is from RNAcentral.